AAGGCCACACAGGAGGCGUGGAGGCAGCAAGGAGGCCACACAGCGUGGUGGUAAGAACCCACGUGCGGUCCCACGCCAACCCCCGCUCAUCCCACCACUACUCCUCACUUGCUGUGUGACCCCAGGCAAACCACUCCCCCGUCUGAGUCUCCGUUCCCUCAUCUGUGAAAUGGGAUUGGUAUUGGACCUUCCUUGCUGAGUCUCUGGGAAACGUGAAUGAAACCCUGGAUGGACAUACACUCAGUCAGAGGCCCAGCCUACGCCAAAGGGUCAGAAGGAGGCACGCUCAAGGGCUCCUCCCAAGGCUUUGGCAUGUUCCAGAAAAUGUGGCCUCUGACCUUCUAAGUCACCAGGGCCUUCCAGCCCCCGAGGGAGCCCUGCUUGCAGAGACUCGGCAUAUAAUGAAAAAUCGGUGAGAAACCCAAUCUGGGGCUAUCAGGCGGAGCGCUCAGCCCUCGGCCUCCUUGUCCCCUUGAUGGGCCGGACCCCUUUCCCUUCUCACACAUGGCACAUUCCCAGCACCAGUUGGAUCCUCCCAGCUGAAAAAUAAAAGUCCUUCAAAC
This 563-nucleotide long non-coding RNA is filed under the name Ursus maritimus (polar bear). Its description in RNAcentral is "lncRNA (ENSUMAG00000015881.1)". The record is from RNAcentral. Lineage: Eukaryota; Metazoa; Chordata; Mammalia; Carnivora; Ursidae.